RNAcentral lists this ribosomal RNA (850 nucleotides) under uncultured bacterium. RNAcentral's name for it is "bacterial SSU rRNA". It matches the Rfam family "Bacterial small subunit ribosomal RNA", at positions 31 to 896 of the family's 1533-position model. The record is from RNAcentral.
GAACGCUGGCGGCGUGCUUAACACUUGCAAGUCGAACGGAAAGGCCUUUUCGGAGGUACUCGAGUGGCGAACGGGUGAGUAACACGUGGGUGAUCUGCCCUGCACUCUGGGAUAAGCCUGGGAAACUGGGUCUAAUACCGGAUAGGACCGCACUUUAGUGUGUGUGGUGGAAAGUUUUUUCGGUGUAGGAUGAGCCCGCGGCCUAUCAGCUUGUUGGUGGGGUAAUGGCCUACCAAGGCGGCGACGGGUAGCCGGACUGAGAGGUUGGUCGGCCACAUUGGGACUGAGAUACGGCCCAGACUCCUACGGGAGGCAGCAGUGGGGAAUAUUGCACAAUGGGCGCAAGCCUGAUGCAGCGACGCCGCGUGGGGGAUGACGGCCUUCGGGUUGUAAACUCCUUUCGCCAGGGACGAAGCGUUUUGUGACGGUACCUGGAGAAGAAGCACCGGCUAACUACGUGCCAGCAGCCGCGGUAAUACGUAGGGUGCAAGCGUUGUCCGGAAUUACUGGGCGUAAAGAGCUCGUAGGUGGUUUGUCACGUCGUCUGUGAAAUUCCACAGCUUAACUGUGGGCGUGCAGGCGAUACGGGCUGACUUGAGUACUGUAGGGGUAACUGGAAUUCCUGGUGUAGCGGUGAAAUGCGCAGAUAUCAGGAGGAACACCGAUGGCGAAGGCAGGUUACUGGGCAGUUACUGACGCUGAGGAGCGAAAGCAUGGGUAGCAAACAGGAUUAGAUACCCUGGUAGUCCAUGCCAUAAACGGUGGGCGCUAGGUGUAGGGGCCUUUUGGGGUUUCUGUGCCGUAGCUAACGCAUUAAGCGCCCCGCCUGGGGAGUACGGCCGCAAGGCUA